RNAcentral lists this unclassified non-coding RNA (285 nucleotides) under Pleosporales sp. RNAcentral describes it as "partial contains small subunit ribosomal RNA, internal transcribed spacer 1, and 5.8S ribosomal RNA". The stretch from base 1 to 46 matches the Rfam family "Eukaryotic small subunit ribosomal RNA", at positions 1786 to 1831 of the family's 1831-position model. The record is from RNAcentral. Lineage: Eukaryota; Fungi; Ascomycota; Dothideomycetes; Pleosporales. RNAcentral also lists the same sequence under 1 other name.
AAGUCGUAACAAGGUUUCCGUAGGUGAACCUGCGGAAGGAUCAUUAACCGUUACAAACAGUGUGUGCUGCGGCCCCCGAGGUGAGGCAACGAGCCUUCGGGAGGUCUGGGGUCCGCCCCUUCACGCGCACGCGUCUGCCAUCCUUACUUUACGAGCACCUUCUGUUCUCCCUCGGCAUGCGUCCUGCGCUGCCGUUGGAAUUACAAAACUCUUUUUUGCAUCUAGCAUUACCUGUUCCGACAAUAACAAUCGUUACAACUUUCAACAAUGGAUCUCUUGGCUCUG